AGUGAACGCUGGCGGUAGGCCUAACACAUGCAAGUCGAACGGCAGCACAGUAAGAGCUUGCUCUUACGGGUGGCGAGUGACGGGCGGGUGACGCGUACAUCGGAAUCUACUUUUUCGUGGGGGAUAACGUAGGGAAACUUACGCUAAUACCGCAUACGACCUACGGGUGAAAGCAGGAGAUCUUCGGACCUUGCCCGAUUGAUUGAGCCGAUGUCGGAUUAGCUAGUUGGCGGGGUAAGGGCCCACCAAGGCGACGAUCCGUAGCUGGUCUGAGAGGAUGAUCAGCCACACUGGAACUGAGACACGGUCCAGACUCCUACGGGAGGCAGCAGUGGGGAAUAUUGGACAAUGGGCGCAAGCCUGAUCCAGCCAUACCGCGUGGGUGAAGAAGGCCUUCGGGUUGUAAAGCCCUUUUGUUGGGAAAGAAAAGCAGCAGGUUAAUACCCCGCUGUUCUGACGGUACCCAAAGAAUAAGCACCGGCUAACUUCGUG
Molecule: ribosomal RNA, 492 nt
Filed under: uncultured bacterium
Lineage: Bacteria
Description: partial 16S ribosomal RNA
Rfam family: Bacterial small subunit ribosomal RNA
Source: RNAcentral